CAAUGAACUAUGCAUUUUUCUAUCUGAUGUCUUUGUGCUGGUUUCCAGGUCAGUCUACGUGGGCGCUUUAAGAGCAGUUUUUUCUUUCCUUCAAGUUCUGUAGUUUUCCUGGGUGUGUUCCCUGUUGGUUUUCAAGGCCAGCAAAGCUAGGUAUUAUGGGAUCUUGUCUCUCUUGUGCUGAGUCUAAGGGCUGGGAUGCCUACUGUGGAGCUCAGAACCUCCACUUCUCCAGGAAGAGCUCUGCAGCUUGGAGCGCUCCCCUGGCUGUGAGGCGCAGUGGCUAGGGGGUGGGAUUUUGCUCAGCGGGGCUGUGUCUCUGCCUUUUCCACUGCAGUCUGUGUUGUCUCGUGUGGUGGCGGUGCUUUUUAUCCUGUUUCCAGAUCUCUCCCAGAGGAAAUUGUUCCAGAGGUAGUUGUAAUUUUGCUGUGUCCAUAGGAGGAGUUCCUGGCUGAUUUUUCAAUGUGAUGCUUUUAAGCCAUUUGUGGAGACAAAGAAGGCGUUUUAGGAUCAUUUAAGAAAAUGAACUCAUAAUAACAUAUGGUAGCUGACUUCAGUAUGGAUUUUCCACUGCAUUGAUCAACUCAGUGAAAUUCUCUUACAUAAAUACAAAUGUUCACAAGACAAAGAUAUCCGUCCAGCAUGGAUGUUGUUCAGAAAGAGGAAAGGAAAAUCCUGCUUUCCACUUGGUGUCGGCUGUAUGCACUUCUCUCAGUCCUCUUGGACGCCGUUGGAUCGCAAUCCAUAGCAUAUUUUACAAAUGAAGAGCAUACGUAAAGAGAGAAGUCUAACAGAUGGCUCCGGGAAAUGCGUAAUAAAUGAAAAGAAACAACAGUGCGCCUUACUAAAACUGAGCAAAGCAGCCUUGGAGGGUGUUGCUGUUUGCCGCAGUCUGAGGACCUGAAGCACAGCUCUUUGCAGCAGACGGAUGGAGUGAUAAAUGGCUGAGCAAAUGCAAAGGCCAUGGGAGAAAUACUCUGAACGUUCUCAUGAGAUAUAUUGUAUUUUAGUUUUUUAGACCUUUCUUAAGUCUAAGGAAUGAAAAAUAUAAUACGCCACAGUCACCAACACAUUUAAAAGACAAGAAAUCGUGUCUAACAAAACAAUUUUUAAAAUGCUGUAGAUCCUUUUGAAGGAAACAGCACUGAACCCAGUUGAAGGUGAAGAUGAUAGAUGUAUGACAUUAGAUUUUUGGCAUUGAAAUUAAGGAAUACAAUAAAAUCAAUAUUGAGAAAUGAUAAGAAAGCAAAGGACAGACAAAGGCCAGAACCUCCUAAACAAUUUUCGUCAAAGCCAUAAUUUAAUCUUUUAUUGUCUCUUAAAGUUUUAUUGCUUAAGAUUAUUCUUUUUAUAAAUAAAUUUUUUAAAAAGAGAUUUCACUGUUCAAUGUCUGCAUAUAGGGAG
RNAcentral lists this long non-coding RNA (1401 nucleotides) under Equus caballus (horse). Its description in RNAcentral is "lncRNA (ENSECAG00000035272.3)". The record is from RNAcentral. Lineage: Eukaryota; Metazoa; Chordata; Mammalia; Perissodactyla; Equidae.